UUUAGAUGAAGACUGUGUAGUAAGCAACACUGCUAAAAUCCUGACUGUCUUCAGGUCAGUACUUUCCAUUUGGCUGUGAGCUUGCACCUGAAGGCAAGCCUCUGACACUAGUGUGUGUGCAAACGCAGUCUCACCAGCCUUCCGCGCGGCUGUUUUUACAGCGGAGGUAACAGAAACCUGAGCUCCUCCUCGAGGACCUAACUGUCAUCAGGCAGAGGGUGGUCUCUCUGAUAUUUCAAAGCUGGGCAGAGAGCAGGGCUGGAAAGGGGGAAUGGUUGCAGCAGUUACCUAGGCAUGUAAAGGACUCUCUCCGCCACCACAAAGCCCACCCUGAAGAAGAGGUUGCUGGCGGGAAUGAACGGGAACACCAGGAACAACAAGCCCACGAGGACUUCCUUGUGCUCCAGCCUCUGCAACACACAAGGGGAAGGGCAGGCUCUGGAGCCCCUGCACCGGGCAGGAUACCAGGACCUCAGGUGCUGGGGAUGUGGAGAUGGGAGCGUUGAGGAGCCCUCAGUUUGGAAAUACCUGAAACGUGGCUCAUCCAUUCCACCACCUGCCUUUCAGGACCCACCUGUCUCCAGCAGACAGAUGAAACAUAUUUCAGAAUAUAUGUGUGGAACCCAAGUGAAUAGGCCAAGCAAAAAUGUGAAGCAUUUAAAGGGAGCAUUUGGAAAGUGGGAGUGA
This 687-nucleotide long non-coding RNA is filed under the name Fukomys damarensis (Damara mole-rat). RNAcentral describes it as "lncRNA (ENSFDAG00000025417.1)". Lineage: Eukaryota; Metazoa; Chordata; Mammalia; Rodentia; Bathyergidae. The record is from RNAcentral.